RNAcentral lists this ribosomal RNA (492 nucleotides) under uncultured bacterium. Its description in RNAcentral is "partial 16S ribosomal RNA". It matches the Rfam family "Bacterial small subunit ribosomal RNA", at positions 29 to 507 of the family's 1533-position model. The record is from RNAcentral.
AGUGAACGCUGGCGGUAGGCCUAACACAUGCAAGUCGAACGGCAGCACAGUAAGAGCUCGCUCUUACGGGUGGCGAGUGGCGGACGGGUAAGGCAUACAUCGGAAUCUACUUUUUCGUGGGGGAUAACGUAGGGAAACUUACACUAAUACCGCAUACGACCUACGGGUGAAAGCAGGGGAUCUUCGGACCUUGCGCGAUUGAAUGAGCCGAUGUCGGAUUAGCUAGUUGGCGGGGUAAAGGCCCACCAAGGCGACGAUCCGUAGCUGGUCUGAGAGGAUGAUCAGCCACACUGGAACUGAGACACGGUCCAGACUCCUACGGGAGGCAGCAGUGGGGAAUAUUCGGCAAUGGGCGCAAGCCUGAUGCAGCCAUACCGCGUGAGUGAAGAAGGCCUUCGGGUUGUAAAGCCCUUUUGUUGGGAAAGAAAAGCAGUAGGUUAAUCCCCCGCUGUUCUGACGGUACCCAAAGAAUAAGCACCGGCUAACUUCGUG